This 483-nucleotide long non-coding RNA is filed under the name Oncorhynchus kisutch (coho salmon). RNAcentral's name for it is "lncRNA (ENSOKIG00005013439.1)". The record is from RNAcentral. Lineage: Eukaryota; Metazoa; Chordata; Actinopteri; Salmoniformes; Salmonidae.
CGACUGCAGUAAUGCCUAGCAUCAGAAUGCAUGUGUGUGUGUGUGUGUGUGUGUGAACUUGCGUCCUUCUCUCUACAUCCACAGGGGGCCACUUCAUUGUCAAAGGUCAGGAGAAGGUCAUUCUGGUCCAGGAGCAGCUGUCAAAGAACCACAUCAUCGUGGGGCAGGACAGGAAGGGAGCAGUGGGAGCCUCACUCAUAUCUAGAAUGACUCGACCAGAAUGCUCUGAAAUCCAUUGGGAAUAAAGUGCGGUGACAGCGCGUGUGAGGAGGGCCCAAGAAGACCAAGAUGGAGGACGCUAGAGAGCUUCCCUCAUCCUCCCUCAUGUACCUAACUGAUCCCAGGCCGCUGGUAGUUGAGACAGACUCUACACCUGCCUCCCCAUGCCCUGAUCCCAGGCCUGCGCUAGUGGAUGCAGACUUUACACCAGCCUCCCCAUGCCCUGAUCCCAGGCCUGCGCUAGUGGAUACAGACUCUACACCA